CUCUUUGUUCCCCUCCAUAUAAUAGUUUUUUCAUUUACUUAUGCCUGUUCCUAAUGUAUUUAGUCAGUUCUUCAAUCAAGUUUGUUUUACUUUAGAUUUUACAAUCUUAUUACGUAUGCAAAGCAAACAAAAUUGAAAGGUGGAUUGAAGAAUUGUUUGUGUUAGGACUUAAGCAUAAGAGGAGAGUCGAACCCAAAAAGACUAGUUCUAGGUGGGAGAACUUCAAGGCUUAAGUACCACAUUAAGUAGUUUAUCUUACUCAAUGUGAGACUCCUAACAUUACCAAUCCCUUUAAGGGCCGACAUCCAUGGCAGCUUCACUCUAUUGACAUUGACCCACCGGAUUUAAGCACAAGAGGAGAAUCCAACGCAAAAGACUAGUCCACUAGGUGGAUAGGAGAACAUCAAGGCUCAGGUACCACAUCAAGUGGUUUAUCCAUUUAUCCAAUGAGAAAGCAGGGCUUACUUCAGAAUUGAGAUUGUUCACCUGUUCGUAAUUUAAACAAAGGCAUAAGGGAGAAGGUGGCUCACACUUGUUACCUUAGGAAAGCUUCUGUUUUAAUUCCAUAACAAUGUUAAAUUCGAUCUGGCUGGUCACAUUAUUUUCUUUUUGUUUUUGUUGCGAUGCAAAUGAACUAGUCAUUUGGCUUGUACUUUAGUUCGCUGAUGUCUGAAAACCUUGCUCACAUUGGUUAUUGGAUUACAUCGAUAAGGUUAUAGGAGAUUAUCAUUGAAAUAUUUAAACUGAAGAUUCUUUUGGGUCUAAUUGCAUUUCUUCUUUACAUGACAUUAGUAUAAUAUGGAUGAUUGGAUGCAUGUAUCGUAUCUUUAGUUCAUAGAAGGGUUCUGAGAGAUUUUUUGUUACCUGAUAGAAACUGGUAGUAUAUAGAUCAAAUUCUAGGAGUACAACUCCUUUACAGUAGAGCAUUAUACCCAAGCUCUGAAAAAAAAAAAUAAUAAAAGAA
Vigna unguiculata (cowpea) is the source of this 964-nucleotide long non-coding RNA. The record is from RefSeq and is a predicted model, not a curated record. NCBI's taxonomy places the organism in Eukaryota, Viridiplantae, Streptophyta, Magnoliopsida, Fabales, Fabaceae.